ACUGGGCUGGAAAAUCGAGUGA
This 22-nucleotide microRNA is filed under the name Ornithorhynchus anatinus (platypus). RNAcentral describes it as "oan-miR-1389-3p". Lineage: Eukaryota; Metazoa; Chordata; Mammalia; Monotremata; Ornithorhynchidae. The record is from miRBase by way of RNAcentral.